CUGGAAUUCUAUUAUUAUCUAUUUCCCUACAAUUUUCUUUUUCAUUUGUCUUAUUUUCUUCUCAUCUCUAUCCUCGAGUUCUCCUCCUCCCGUUUCUUUUCUCUUCUAAACCUAAACCUAAAUCUCCAAAAUCAAACCCACGAUUUCAGAAUUUAUUUCUCCUAAUCCGAAUCAAAUCUCAUAGAUCAAAACUCAUCUCGGAAAUCAAACCCAAACUUUGAAUCACUCAAACUGGAGGAUGCGGCUGUAUCUCAACUCAGAGAAAAUGGGAUUGUGAAAUGAGAUGACACAGAGAAGGGGAUCUGUGGGUUAUAAUCAAAGUAGAUGAGAAGAAUCGAUGGAGGUACUAAUUCCGGAGUUGUAGUCAGAUUUAAUCCUGGAUCGAGACCAAUCAAGACAGGGAAGAUGGAAGGAUAAUUCGAAUCUAAGACGGAAGUGGAUCCAGGGUUUGUGUUUCUCAGAGGUGGUGACGGAAAUGAAGAUUGAAGUCCAGAUUCAAUGGGGUUUGAUCUCAAAUUGAAGUUAUGAUGCUGUUGAAGUCGAUGGGGUUUAGGUUGAUUUGGCUGUUACUGUUGUUGAUUGAGAAGAAACAGAAACUAAGGUUGCUGUGGUGAUUGAGAUGAAUUUCAAAGGAUUGAGAAAAUAGGUUUGAUGGAUUUUUGGUUCUUGGUUGUGAACUGUUGAUGGGGAUGAUAGAAUAGCUGAUGGUGAAAGCUAAAGAAGAAUUAGGGCAAGGUCAGUCAAUUCAGAUGAUUGAAUGGUUUAUCUGUGUUGUCUUGUUGUUAGAAAUUGCAGGGAAGAAGAAUUGUUUGCAGUGAAGGCACUAGUGGUGGCUGAAUGGUGGAAAUUGAACUGAGAUUUACAGAGAUGGAGAUGGAUGUGAUGUUCCAAAGAUUAUAUGGGUUACUAAAGCCGAGUUGUGAAGGGUGAUGCAACUGUAAGUUAUACAUAAUGGCUCAGGAUGUGGUGAUGGCCGAAGAUUGUCUGAUGAAUUGUUGCUGCCAGUGACUGUUAGAAGCAAGUUCGAGUCAGAUGCUAUGGGUUGUUGCAGGGGACAAGAAAUUGAUGCUGCUGAGUAUAAGAAGUUGUAGGCAUGAACUGAUUGUUGAGUUUGUGUUGCUGCCUAAGAGAAGUUGUACAUGUUCAAAUUUCAACGUGGUAGUAACCAAAACGAAGAAACUUGAGAAGCUUUGUCAUGCUGAAUCCUAGUAGCAGAGAUUAAAACCUUCCUUCGUGAAGAUCCUCUUCCAUUUUCUGCUGGUCAGUUGGAAGGGAUGGCAUUACUGAUAAACAUGCAUAUAAAAGUAGCAAGAAGACGCAGGAACAACAGUCUUAAGGUAUUGGUUGAUAGAAUAUAUGAGGAGGCAUCCCAAGCAAAAGAAGAUCCGUGCUUUAAUUCUUAAGUUUAUUAAAGACCAGAUUGCAGGUUUACUUUUGGUUGAGGUAAAGAUUUUAUUUCCUUUCGAAAAGGCACAUGACCAUGUUCCAUAUAUGGUUUCUCCUGCUUCUAGUUUUUUCUUGAGCAACCUGUUACCACUGUAUGACUAUAGUUAUGAACAAUCUUCAAACCAUACAGGUUGGGAUGCAAGCUUCUGCAGUUGUUGUGUCUAUUGGGAAACAAAUAGGAGAUGAAAUACAAGUUAGGGUAGAAGAACCCCAAAUGUCUUAGAAAGUUGUACCCCUUGUUCUCAACUUCAACACUGCACUGGUUUACGUCUUCCCUAAUUGCUCAUGCGACUGGUGUACGUCUUCCCUAAUUGCUCAUGCGAAAUGGGUAAGAGAAAUAUCCUCGGAUGCCCCAUCUUUGUAGAUUAGUUCCUGGGUAGUCCAUGCAAAACAAAUCGUUUCGUUGUAAACUAAUGCACGACUGCUUAAGAUGCUAUGAACUGAAAGAUAAUGUCACUUUUUUUCCUUCGAUAAA
This is a long non-coding RNA of Papaver somniferum (opium poppy), 1921 nucleotides long. RefSeq lists it as uncharacterized. The record is from RefSeq and is a predicted model, not a curated record. The transcript has 2 exons. Lineage: Eukaryota; Viridiplantae; Streptophyta; Magnoliopsida; Ranunculales; Papaveraceae.